AAAAAAAAUUGAAGCAGCUAGAAAGUCCAAACGAAAUGCAUGUCUCGCAGUUUGGUCCAAGGGUAUUUCUAGACAUCUCUACUGGUGCUCUACAUCAAAACCUUAAGGGUCCAGCAAUCCUCAGAUUGUUGCAGACAAAUGGCUUUCAAUGGCAUGGUGGAACUUGUCCUGCAUGACAGCAUGGUCAACGUGAUCCUAAUGCUUGUAUUAAAAAAAGGUACUUCUCAGUACAGAAUUCUGGAAGGAAUUAUCAAGAACAAGUGUCUUCUAAGAGACAUUGGGAUGCUUUUUCCUGAUGCAUAGACAGCCACCAUUGAGCCAUAUCAUGCUGUUCGCACCCAAGCUAAAUGGUUACACAUACCCAGUCAUGCUAACAAAGUAUGUGGAUUUUUGUUAUCAUUAGUUUAAAAUCUAUCAGCAGCCGAUCACAUCAGUGUAAAUUAUUCAAAGCAUCAUGACAUUGACUAUUGCGGGUAGUUCGCUGUUAAUACCGAGUACAAGACUAUUUUGCAUACGAAGCGAGCUGUCACAGGACCUUUAAUGCCACCGGGAAGGGUGGGGAUGAUUCCGACAACCGUGAACAAAGGUGACACCAUCAGACGACCACCGUCCACCGGCGAUGUACCAGAUAACACAUCGGCCGGUCAUUAUCUUUCUGUCCAGUCUCCCGCCUGCUUUUGUUCUUCGCCCAAACAGGAGGAGAAGGGAGGACGAGGGAAAGUUUAUGUUGAUGAAGAAAGAUCCCUCGGCAGCAAUUUUCAGCAGGGCAGUGACAGAAGUGCAACCUACUACUUGUUACUAGAUUGCUAAGUAAAGGGAUGACAACACCUGCUGAGGAAAUGGGUGACACGAAAAUACGAGGAUGCUAAUUCUUCUCUACGAG
This 883-nucleotide long non-coding RNA is filed under the name Pomacea canaliculata. RNAcentral's name for it is "uncharacterized LOC112569341, transcript variant X2". Lineage: Eukaryota; Metazoa; Mollusca; Gastropoda; Architaenioglossa; Ampullariidae. The record is from RNAcentral.